This 118-nucleotide non-coding RNA is filed under the name Pseudomonas syringae. The record is from RNAcentral. Lineage: Bacteria; Pseudomonadati; Pseudomonadota; Gammaproteobacteria; Pseudomonadales; Pseudomonadaceae.
UUUACCAUGCCGCGCGUCGGUUUCCGAGAGGAACUAACAGGGAAUUCGCCCGCCUUUUUCCACCAGGCGAAAAACGAAACUGCCCCCGCAACUGUAGGCACCGAGCCUGCUCCAUGAC